This 578-nucleotide long non-coding RNA is filed under the name Brassica napus (rape). RNAcentral describes it as "long non-coding RNA (BNAP_LNC023460)". The record is from RNAcentral. Lineage: Eukaryota; Viridiplantae; Streptophyta; Magnoliopsida; Brassicales; Brassicaceae.
GACAGGAAAAAAGGUGACAGUUGGUUUUAGAGAUUGUCGGGCUGGGAAGAGCGCAGUUGCAAUUUAAUGAGCUCACCGAGCCCAUUAAGUAAAGAAUCGUGAUUUUUCUUAUAUAAUACGCGCUAAUGUCUUUUUUUUGAAUGAAUAUAUCAUACUCGGAUGUCAGGAAAACAGUGUGUUGAUAGUAAGAGAACAAGAGAAACCUUAGAAAAUAGGAUAAACAAAUGAUCCGUGAUGCUCUCCAAUAAACAAGCAUUACAUUUGAGAUUUGACAGUGCGAAGUUGCUUAAAUAAAAGGCUUUCUUGAAUUACACUCACGUGAUAUAUUAUAUAUAAUACUACAAGAAGUCGCGUUCUCAAGUCCUUGUUUUCACGACAUCUAUAUAACUAGAGGCUUUACCUUUUAAUUCAUAUUGAUAUGUUUGUAUGAGGAUCAUUUUCAUCUAACAUGCGCAAUAACAUUAAUAGCAUCUAACCAACGCGGUUGGCCUAGUGCUAGUUGAGGAAGAAAAUCCAAUACGCUCCCCGCAGGUUCGACUCGCGUUGGCCACCCGGACCCUCCCUGCUAAUUCCUGAGG